This 813-nucleotide ribosomal RNA is filed under the name uncultured bacterium. Its description in RNAcentral is "bacterial SSU rRNA". It matches the Rfam family "Bacterial small subunit ribosomal RNA", at positions 8 to 796 of the family's 1533-position model. The record is from RNAcentral.
AGAGUUUGAUCCUGGCUCAGAAUAAACGCUGGCGGCGUGCCUAACACAUGCAAGUCGAACGAGAAAGCCCGAUUUCGGUUGGGCGAGUAAAGUGGCGCACGGGUGAGUAACGCGUAGGCAACCUGCCCCUGUGUUCGGGAUAACAGUGCGAAAGCGCUGCUAAUACCGGAUAUGGCCAAGAGACGGUGGUUUUUUGGUCAAAGUCGGCCUCUCGCAGAAGCCGAUGCACGGGGAUGGGCCUGCGUCCUAUCAGCUAGUUGGUAGGGUAAUGGCCUACCAAGGCUUCGACGGGUAGCUGGUCUGAGAGGAUGAUCAGCCACACUGGCACUGAAACACGGGCCAGACUCCUACGGGAGGCAGCAGUGAGGAAUUUUGCGCAAUGGCCGCAAGGCUGACGCAGCAACGCCGCGUGAGUGAUGAAGGCUUUCGGGUCGUAAAGCUCUGUCAAGUGGGAAGAAGUUGUGUAUGGCUAAUAUCUGUGCACAUUGACGGUACCACUGAAGGAAGCACCGGCUAACUCCGUGCCAGCAGCCGCGGUAAUACGGAGGGUGCAAGCGUUAUUCGGAUUUACUGGGCGUAAAGGGCGCGUAGGCGGCUUGAUAAGUCAGUCGUGAAAGCCCGGGGCUCAACCCCGGAAGUGCGAUUGAAACUAUCAGGCUUGAGUAUGGUAGAGGGAAGUGGAAUUCCAGGUGUAGCGGUGAAAUGCGUAGAUAUCUGGAGGAACACCGGUGGCGAAGGCGACUUCCUGGACCAAUACUGACGCUGAUGCGCGAAGGUGUGGGUAGCAAACAGGAUUAGAUACCCUGGUAGUCC